This is a long non-coding RNA of Clarias gariepinus (North African catfish), 501 nucleotides long. RefSeq lists it as uncharacterized. The record is from RefSeq and is a predicted model, not a curated record. NCBI's taxonomy places the organism in Eukaryota, Metazoa, Chordata, Actinopteri, Siluriformes, Clariidae. The transcript has 3 exons.
UGUCGUUUUUUCCCUUAUAAAUGUGUUUUUUUUCCAUUGAAAAUGUGCGCUUUUUCCCGUGUAACUGUGCGCUUUUUCCCGUGUAAAUGUCUGCUCUUUUCCGUUUGUGCGCAACUACUUCUUUCCCGUGUAAGAACUCUUUCUCCAGUAUUUUGCAAGCUAAAAGCUAAAGCUAAUGCGCAAAGGACUAUGGGAGUGGGGUCAAAACGCAACUGAACACGGAACCUUUCCGGAUAUCAGCUCCAGGACUCAACAUCAUGGAGUAUACAGUGAAUUAUAGCGUGAUAAAGUUAUAAUUUUCACUAAAUUUUCAACUGCACACACUUACCAGUGAACUGUGUGUAAAUCAUCAACUGCCUGUGUAUCAGCUGAUUUCUACACCAGCUUUACAUCCUGAGCAGAAGAUUGUCGUGGAGAGGACGGACCCUUGAUGCUCUGCCUUUUUGCACCAACAAUACAUACAUGUAUUUUAUUAAUUUGUAAAUAAAGUCUUUAAUAUAA